CUAGCAGCAGAUUAAUACAGUCUGGCUCCGGGGGCCCCUGCAAUAGUAUUAAAUACUGUGUUACGGAAAAUGUUUCACAUACUGGCAAGCUAUUAUGCAGCUUUAUAUUCCACUCUACUCCCCUGAAUAUGGCACCCUCAAGAUCCUCUCCCAGAGACGCUCCUGAUUCCUGCUGGGGGCUCCAGAAUGUUAACGGCACCACUGAGUUGUCUUACUUUGAGUCAAGAGGGGUGAGCGUUUAUAUCAGUCAGUCAUGGAUUGCAUACUACCUCCUGUGGACAAAGGGAAUUCUGAAGCCAUUAGCCAAGAUUCUUAGCAGUUAAGGUCAGCGAAGGGAUAUCACCUACAGGGCAAAGAAGCUCUUAUCAAGAGCAAGGCUAGAUCAACACUGGGGCAAAGAGAGCUGAAAAAGGAAAGGUAAAUGCAGUGAGAGAGUCCCCCCACCCCACCACCACCAAAUUUCAGUUAAAAGGGAGUCUUAAAGGAAGGCUACUUACUUCUAGGAUUAUCUUCUGUAGAUUUCCAAACUUCUUGACACUUUACAGAGCUCUAGCCUUUCCUAGUUGAGUUGGUUUCAUUUAGCUAUCCGGUGGAGCUCCCUUUCUGUGGGGGAAUUUGUUCAUGUUGACCUAAGGGCACACAGCUGCCGUCAGCUUCUGGGGCAUAGGCUCUGCGUACAAAGCAACUCUGUAUUGUGGAACUUCUCCACAC
Molecule: long non-coding RNA, 711 nt
Organism: Callithrix jacchus (white-tufted-ear marmoset)
Lineage: Eukaryota; Metazoa; Chordata; Mammalia; Primates; Cebidae
Source: RefSeq, a predicted model, not a curated record